RNAcentral lists this ribosomal RNA (433 nucleotides) under uncultured bacterium. RNAcentral's name for it is "partial 16S ribosomal RNA". It matches the Rfam family "Bacterial small subunit ribosomal RNA", at positions 29 to 507 of the family's 1533-position model. The record is from RNAcentral.
AACGAACGCUGGCGGCAUGCCUAACACAUGCAAGUCGAACGAAAACGGCGGGUCUUGUGGCGCACGGGGGGGUAAGGCGGGGGGAGCUGCACGUAGGUACGGAAUAACUCCCCGAAGGGGAUGCUAACACCGGAGAAGGUCUUAGGACCAAAGAGUUAUUGCCGUGGGAUGGGCACUCGUUGGAUUCGCUAGUUGGUAGGGUAAAAGCCGAUCAAGGGGAGGAUCCAUAGCUGGUCUGAGAGGAUGAUCAGCCACCCUAGGAGUAGGACACGGACGGGAAUCCUACGGGAGGCAGCAAUGCGUAAUAUUGCACGACGGGCGAAAGCCUGAUGCUGCCAUGCCGGGAAAGUGAUGUAGGCCUUAGGGUUGUAAAGCUCUUUUACCCGGGCUGAUAAUGACGGUACCGGGAGAAUAAGCUCCGGCUAACUCCGUG